CGCCCAACUCAGGUUUCUAUCGCCCUAUCCCUUAGAGCUCAUCUAAGACCUAAGAUGGCGGCGUUCGCAUGGCGUGUAAACGCUGCAGGCGUACCAGAUAUGGAAAGGCGGCCAAAGGACGAAUCUACUAAGGAGAGUCCAAGAACUCGCCGAUAUUUGUGUUGUGGAAGCCCUCUUGGAAGCAGAGUAUCCAUGAUGUUUUAGAAAGCAGUGACCCAUGGAAGUGAAUGUGGAUUUCAGUCAAGAAUUGAAGGCCUUGCUGGACACAUACCAGAGAAAAUUUUUCAGAGGUGUGAUGCUGGAGAACAUGUCAUCUGGUCUCUCAAUUUUUCACAACCUUAAACAGUACAGUUGAAGCCCCCUCUUCAUCACACACCACAAGCCUGUCUAUUCCCUGAGAAACAACAACAAUGAAGUUAAGCCAGUGGAUAUCCCUACAGUGGCCUCUAAGUGUUCAAGUGAAAGGAAGACUUGCACAUCUCUCACUUUAAAUCAAAAGCUAGAAAUGAUUAAGCUUAGUGGGGAAGGCAUGCUGAAUGCCUACACAGGCCAAAAACUAGGCCUUUUGUGCCAGUUAGCCAAAUUGUGAAUACAAAGGAAAAAUUCUUGAAGGAAAUGAAAAGUGCUUCUCCAGUGAACACAUAAAUGAUAAGAAAGCAAAACAGCCUUAUUGCUGAUACUGAGACAGUUUUAGCAGUCUGGAUAGACAAACAGACCAGCCUCAACAUUCCCUUAAGCCAAAACCUAAUCCAGGGCAAGGCCCUAGCUCUCUUCAAUUCUAUGAAGGUUGACAGAGAUGAGGAAGCUGCAGAAGAAAAGUUUGAAGCUAGCAGAGGUUCAUUCAUGAAGUUUAAGGAAAGAAGCCAUCUCCAUAACAUGAAAAUGCAAGGUGAAGCAAUAAGUGCUGAUGUAGAAGCUGCAGCAAAUUAUUCAGAAGAUCUGACUAAGAUAAUUAAUGAAGGUGGCCACGCUAAACAACAGAUCUCCAGUGUAGACAAAACAGCCUCUAUUGGAAGAAGUACAUCUAGGACAUUCAUAGCUACAGAGGAGAAGUCAAUUCCUGGCUUCAGAGGACAGGCUGACUCUCUUGUCAGGCUAAUGCAACUGGUAACUUUGAGUUCAAGCCAGUUGUCAUUUACCAUUCUGAAAAUCCUAGGGUUCUUAAUAAUUAUGCUAAAUCUACUCUGCCUGUGCUCCGCAAAUGGAACAACAAAGCCUGGAUGAAAGCACAGCUGUUUACAACAUGGUUUACUGAAUAUUUUCAGCCUACUGUCGAUACCCACUGCUCAGCAAAGAGAGGUUCCUUUCAAAAUAUUGCUGCUCAUUGACAAUGCACCUGGUCACUCAAGAGCCCUGGUGGAGAUGUACAAUGAGAUUAAUGUUGUUUUUAUGCCUGCUAACAUCAUCCAUCCUGCAUCCUGUUGGUUAAGGAACAAUUUUGACUUUCAGUUUUUAUUAUUUAACAAGUACAUUUUGUAAGACAAUACCUGCCGUAGAUAGUGUUUUCUUUGAUGUUUUGGGCAAAGUAAAUUGAAAACCUUCUGGACUGGAUUCACCAAUCCAGAUGUCAUUAAGAACAUUUGUGAUUCAUGGGAAGAGGUCAGAGUAUCAACAUUAACAGGACUUUGGAGGACAUUGAUUCCAGCCCUCAUGGAUGACUUUGAGAGGUUCAAGAUGUCAGUGGAGGAGGUAACUCCAAAUGUGGUGGAAAUUGGAAGAGAACCAAAAAUUAGGAGUGGAGCCCAAAGAUGUGACUGAAUUGCUGCAAUCUCGUAAUAAAACUUUAAUGGGUGAGGAGAUGCUUCUUAUGGAUGAACUAAAAAAGUGAUUUCUUGAGAUGGAGUCUACACCCAUUAAAGAUGCUUUUGAAUAUUGUCCAAAUGACAAGAAAGGAUUUAGACUGUUACACAAACUUAGUUGAUAAAGUAGUGGAAGGGUUCGAGAGGACUGACUCCAAUUUUAAAGUUCCACUGUGGGUAAAAUGCUACCAAACAGCAUUGCAUGUUACAGCGAAGUUGUUCGUGAAAGGAAGAGUCAGUUGAUGUGGCAGACUUCACUGCUGUCUUAUUUUAAGAAAUUGCCAUAGCCACCUCAGUCUUUAGCAACCACCACCCUCAUCAGUCAGCAGCCAUCAACAUCAAGGCAAUAUCCUCCACAAGCAGAAAGAUAACUACUCACUGAAGGCUCAGGUGACAGUAUUUUUUAGUUAAGGUAUGUACAUUGUUUUUUAGGCAUAAUGCCACUGCAUACUUAAUAGACUACAAUGUAGUGUAAGUAUAACUUAUUUUCACUGGGGAACCUAAAAAUUCAUUUGACUCAACUCAAUUUACUGUGAUAUUUGCUGGAACAAUACACUCACUAUCUCAGAGGUAUGCCCAUAGUUGGACUUUAUCCAACUUACCAAACAUGUGCACCAUAGCACACUCUGAGGGAAGUGAAAAGACAGCUCACAGAACGGGAGAAAAUACUUGGAAAUUACGUAUUUGAGAACUUACUAGCAUGGAGAAUAUGUAAAGACCACUUCCAACUAAAAAAUGGAAGAAAAGUACAAUUUAGAAAUGCACCAAGGACAUAAAUAUUUCUCAGAAGUUAAUAUACCAGGAGCCGUAAGUACAUGAAAAGAAUUUUAAUAUUUUUACUUGAGAAAUUCAAUUCAAAAUAACCAUGAGUAUCACUUAACAU
Long non-coding RNA from Mesoplodon densirostris (Blainville's beaked whale), 2682 nucleotides. RefSeq lists it as uncharacterized. The transcript has 4 exons. The record is from RefSeq and is a predicted model, not a curated record. NCBI's taxonomy places the organism in Eukaryota, Metazoa, Chordata, Mammalia, Artiodactyla, Ziphiidae.